Molecule: long non-coding RNA, 4026 nt
Organism: Neogale vison (American mink)
Lineage: Eukaryota; Metazoa; Chordata; Mammalia; Carnivora; Mustelidae
Exons: 5
Source: RefSeq, a predicted model, not a curated record
ACGAGGGCGGGCGAGAGGCGCGCGCUGGGAUUGGCGCCGAAGACCGGACCCUCAGACGCUAGGGAUGAGAAAACUGAAACACUGAGAGGUUGAGUAGCUUGCUGAAGAAUAUGUAGCUGGUGAGUAGAGAAACAGACAUUUGAACCAGGCUCUCUGCCUACACAACCUGCACAUGAACCUGCCCUGGGCUGCUGGAAACAACCUAAAUAGCUAACAACUGGAGACUUGUCAAGAUGUUGCAAGUCUCUGCUCUUAGAAGACCGGCUGCAGAACCCAGGGCUGAACCCCUGUAGAAAUGGAUCAAAAGAUUCAACCAGCAAAUGGUGAAUCAAUGACAAAUCAAUAAUAAGGGGUCUGGAAAAGACCAAAGGGGAGCUUGCAUGUGAGAUCUCUUUGGGAACUUCGAAGCACUCUGUUAAUGAAAAGGGUAAAUUUUUUCUCUCUUCCCUUAUACCAUAAACUCCAUGAGAGCAUUUGACAGGAUCAGUUGUGUCAUCUUUAAAAAGACAUGUUCGAUGACGUAUAUACAAAAAAUCAUAUUAUAAACCUUAAGUCUUUACAAUUUUUAUUGCCAAUUGUACGUCAACAAAAAAGGGGGAAGUUAUAAAACAACGAAUCAUUGAUUGAGUGAACGAAUCCAUGAAUGUUGUGGACUGAAUGUCUGUGUCCCCCCCAAAUCCAUAUGCUGAAAUCCCAUCUCCUAAUGUGGUAGUAUUAGGAGGUGGGGGGUCUUUAGUAGGUAAUUAGGUUUAUAUGAGGCCAUGAGGGCAAAGCCCCAUGAUGGAAUUAGCUCUUACAAGAAAAGGAGGAGACACCAGCAUGUUCUCUCUCCACCAUGUGAUGAUACAGUGGGAAGGCAGCCAUCUACCAGCCAAGAAGAGGGCUCUCACCAAGAACUGAAUCUACUGGUACCUUGAUCUUGGACUUUCCAGCCUCCAGAACUGUGACAAUAAACGUCUGUUGUCUAAGCCACCCAGGUGUGGUGUUUGGUUAUAGUAGCCUAAGUGGACAAAGACAGUGAAUAAAUAAAUGAAUGAAACAAAACAAAGUCACAGAGUAGGAGAACAUGCAAUAUGAACAAGGAAUAAAGGGUUGUCUGAAUAUAUUUGGUGUAGCUGGGUGUUGGAGUGUAACCCAUAGCUAGGUGGGUGGGUGGGAAGCAGUGGUCCUUAGAGUAAGUUCUGUGGACCAGUAUCAUCUGGGAACUCAUUAGAAAUGCAAGUUCCUGGGCUCCCACCUAGGCUUACUGAAUCUGAAACUCAGGGGUGGGGCGGACAAUCUGUUUCAACAAUCCCUCUAGGUCAUUCUGGUGCAAAGCAAAGUUUUGAGAACCAUUACUUUGUACUAAUGCAGGAAGUUUGGAAAUAAUUCUGCUGUAAAUUCAGUGUUAAUGAAGGUUUUUAGCUGUGGAUGGAUAUAAUCAGAGCUGUAUUUCUAGGAUGAUGAGGCAUGAAGCUUUGCCUAAAAGAAUUUAUGGCUUCGAUAAAGCACCACUGGAAAUACUGGACAACACAUUGUAUUCACCAAGCUGCCCCAGAGUGAAAGAUUUUGAUUUUUCCUGAUUCCAGAUAAUAGCCACAUCAUCAGCUAAGAGGCAAAGCAGAGCCGGCAUUAUUCCCAAGCACUGGAGAAACCUGCUUGGUCUAUAGAGACCAGACAGGAUGAGAAAGUUUCUGUGAAAAUAAAUCAGUUACCUACUAAAUAUGGUCCUCACUGAUCUCAGGGGGGCCUCUUAGUCCUGACCAGCUGCGGGGAAACAUGAAAUGGAACCUUCCAUACCAAGACAAAUGGGCAGCUCCUCCUACAAUUGGCCUCACUAGCUGAAAAAUGCAGCUUUGUCUUUAGGGCUGGUCUGCCCAAGGGGAAGGUAUUGUAUGGAAGAGAAAUGAAGAGCCUGGGGGGAAAGCAGUAUCUUAAGAGAGAGUCUAGAAGCCCAAGAUACAAGUGUCAGGUGGGGAGGGAGUGGGGAGGAGAGGGAUGAGGGCUGUUCAGAAUGGUUUGGGCUGUUGGGAUGACCAAGCAUCUGGGUUUGCCCAGCACUCAGGAUGUUGGGGAUAAUCCCUGUCAAACCAGGACAAAUGGCCACCCUACAAAUCUGCACCCUCAGCUGUGUUGAAGACUUGGGGAGAAGACCUUGUGAAAGCAGGAGAAUCACUGAUCUAAGCGUUGUUUCUCAAAAUAUUGCCUACACACUGGCAAUGUCAGUGUCACCUGGGAGUUUGUGAGAAAUGCAGCUCCUCAGGCCCACCCUAUACUUGCAGGCCCAGACCUGCAUGACUGCAAGAGCCCCAGGUGACGUGCGUGCACAUGGGCUGAGAAAGACUGCCUUGGCAGAUCCUCUGAGUCCUAGGAGGCUUCCCCCAGUAAAAAAAAAAAAAAAUGAAGCACUGGUGGGGAGCAGAAUUUCUGGGCUGCGAAAUAGCCGAUGUCCAGGUUGUCCAGAUUCUAAGCUCGACCUGCAUCAACCCUGCCUGGGAGGAGCAGAAACAUGGAGAAGCUUACAUACUAGGGGCACCAAGAACUGAGAGCAAAGAAGGAAAAGGACAGAUGACACAAAAGAGCCAAGGGGGCCUCCUGAACUAUUAACAGUAGUAGUCGUAGGAAUGUAGGAAAGCCAGAAACCCAGCAAUUAUGUGGUGAGAGUAAAGCUGGAGAAGUAGUCUUCUGUUCCUAUACUGUGACCCUGUUUUGGUAAAACAGCAACAACAACAACAAGCUGGUGUGGGCUGGGAAAUGAAUUACGCUGCAAAGUGGAGUCACGGCCCUGUGGGUAAGCUUUCAGAGGCAGAUAAAAAAGGAUCACCCACUAAAAGUAUUCAGCUUUCGCAUCUUGGCCUCACUCACUUGUGUAUUACUCAGAAACACAAAGCAAAUUCAGUUUUUUUCUUUUUCUCUACCUGGUCUGAUCAUCAUGGGUUCCAACUCUGCAUUCUAGCAAGAAUAAUUUGCACUUAAUUAAUAGUGUUUCUUUUUCUGCAGCUCAAACACAAUUCUUUGACUCGAAGCAUUCUAACCAGUGGUUCUUAAACUCCAAACAUGCAGCAGAAUCACCUAGAGGGCAUGUUAAAACACAGAUUGCUGGGCCCACCCCCAGGGUUUCUGAUUCUGUACAUCUGGUAGCAACUUAAAUUUGCAUUUCUAAGGAGUUCCCGGUUGAUGCUUAUUAUUGGUCUAAGGAACACACUUUGGAACCUCUGGUUCAAACUGUUCAGCAUGUUAUUCCCAUCCAAAGGUGAAGGGUUUCAAAAGUCUUAGAUUAAUACUUCUAAAAUUGGUUGACCUUUCUGUUCUACCUUGGAUCAAAUACAUGGUCGUCCUGCAUAUGACGACUCUGCAGCUCAUGGCAUAAGCCCCUAGCAGUGCCCGCUCAACACAUCUGCACUGGCCUGUAUCUUGUUCAACAAGACAAGUCCUCUGGUCACAUGCUAGGAUGUCCUGGCAAUGGCGGUUUGUGAUAAAAAUGUCUGAAUACCAGUUCUUACUUUUGUUUAUCUCACUUCAGGCCAGUAAUAAUUUGUGGACUGGCACUGGCCCAUAGAUCACAUUUUGAGUAAUGCUGUUUAGAUGACUCAGUCUUUCUCAGAUUCUUACCCUCUUCCUUCUCUUUCCUAAGAUAGCAUUUGGGUAUACAAGAUGGCAGGGGUCUUCUUUUAUCCUUGUGUCACCCUUGUAGCAUGAGACUACGUGAUCCUUGGAUUCGUGAUCCUUGUAGCAUGAGACUCCGUGAUCCUUGGAUUCGUUUUUUUCUCUGGAAUGGGGACCACCGAAAUGAAACGAGGUCCCAUCUAAUCUUUAGGAAUGAUGUGUGCGGCUAUAGCCCUGAACACUUCCCAUAGUGCCCAAGUUCCAACCCUGUGGCCUCUUUCCCUGCUCCUAGAUGGCUGCUAGUCUACCAGUAGUCUCACUGGGGAAGUAAGAAGUUCCAGAGACUCCUGUUUUCCACCUAAAGGUCAUUGGGAGGCAGGAAUGCCUUCUUUUUGCUUUUUUAAAGAUUUCUUUAUUUAUUUGAGAAGGAGGGGGAGGGGC